CUACUUUCUUUUGGGGAAAUUUGGUUGGAAACCUUGGCGUCCUAAGCUCCUUCCUGGCCAGGCCUACUCCAUGUGCUGUCACAGUCAUCCAAUGUGGUUCACAACAUGGAAAUCUGCCGUUGCAGCUAUUUCCCAGCACCCACGCCUCACAGUACCGGGUAAAUGGUAAUGUCAGCGCAUCCUCCUUUCUGAACCUGCCCUCUCCCCCCCCCUGCAUGUGGAAGGAUGAGCAGAGUCUGGGUGGGCUAAUCCCCAUUGUGCUAAUCGGAGCGUCGCCUGUGGGAUGGCCCCAAAUUGAUUGGUUGAAAAAGACAGCUUCAAAGAUGCAAUUCUGAGGUGAAGCCGCAAGGUGGAGUAUGCGCGAGCAGAUAAGCCCUCUUGCACUGUUCUCUGCCUCCUGUGCCUCGCUACUGAACUGAUAAGUGCUUCGCUCUGUGUUACAAUUCCAAUCUAAAUGACUUUCAAGGUUCCAUUUUGAUAUACUGAGAUUGGCUGGCAAACAGUUGGGGUGUACACUAAAGUGAGCUGGGUAGACACCAGCACUUGGAUGGAUAACUUUGAUAUGAUUGUCCACUAGGGGUCUCAAUCACCAAUUUCAUGCAGAUACGAUGAGAUUUUGAUUACAAUAUUUGCCUAAGGCGCAAAACACAAACAAGACUGAAAAAGCAGUUUCUAGUUUAAGCCAAAAGAACAGUUGUGUUUGAUAGAACAAUAUGUCUAUAUGCUGCCAUAGCAGAUUCUUGGCGCAUUAAGCCCUCGAGCUAUUUUUAAUUUGUCCGUUUUACCCCGGAACCCAGCUUACAGACGUCGUGCAACCGCUUUUGUUUCAACUCAGCCAUAAAAAGAAGGGAAGUAAUUAUAUUUAUUAUUCAAAAUGUCUGUCAUUUUUAGAAUAGAAUCAUCAAUUGACGUCUAAUAAUUCGUAAAAAAAAAUUCACUUGCAUAUUUUAAACUUUCAAACAAAUUACGUCACAAUGAAAAAAAAAAUGGUGUCUGUAAAUAAGUCACGUACCUUAUCUACCUCAUAACUAUCGCUUAAUUGUAUUUGUUUUGUUACUGUCGCAUUUUCCUUCAUGUGUUAGAUGAUAAAAGAUCCAAACAAAGAAAAAUUGAGAGAAAAAUAAAUAAAUAAAUAAAUAAAUAAACGUUUAAAAGGGUAAAUAUAUGAAAAAUAACAUCUCGACCACUCCUUGAUGUCUGCGAUUUCUGCAUCACGACCCUUGUUAUAUUACCGUGUUUCACCAAUGAAAUCCCCCCCAAAAUCCGGCUGUGGCCAUUCACAGCUGUGUGUUGACACUCGGUGAUACAUGCCACAUGGAAUUUUUGGAUCAAAACAAGGUAAGUACGCGAUAAUAUCUUGUUAAAGUCAUGGCGUCUGUAAUUCUGCUCUCGCGUGAUCUCACCUCCAGUUAGGGUUUUGCUAUUUAAUUUUUAUUUUUAUUAUUUUUUUAAAUGCCAUCCUAUUCAAAAAAUUUCUUCACCCAGAAAAUUGAGAUUUAAAGCUUUCCAAUGAUGUAUCACACGUGCAUAUCCGACAAUUUUGAAAUUUGGCAAAAUUGGGGGUCUCAGAGCGGAACUUAAAGUCACCUGAGUGUUUUCCGCCAUAUAGUAUAUAUGGCGGAAAACACAGACAGGACUGAAAAAGCAGUUUCUGCUCUUGCACUCCUCUUUAAAAGAAACUGCAGUAUUUUAAGCCCAAAAAACUGUUGUGUUUGAUAGAACAAAAUGUCUAUAUGCUGCCAUAGCAGAUUCAUGGCGCAUUAAGCCCCCGAACUAUUUUUUAUUUGUCCCUUUUACCCUGAAAACCCCCGUUUACAGACGUCGCGCAACCGCUUUUGUUUCAACCUAGCCAUAAAAAGAAGGUAAGUAAUUAUAAUUUUUAUUAAAAAUGUCUGUCAUUUACUGCUUGGAAUCAAUAAUUGAUGUCUAAUAUUUAGUUAAAAAAUAAAAAAUAAAAAAAAAACACUUUAAGAAAUUAUUCACUCGCAUAUUUUAAACUUUUAAACAAAUUAUGUCACAAUGAAAAAUUUGGCGUCUGUAAAAUAAAUCACAGAUAUCUACCUCAUAACUAUCGCCUAAUUGUAUAUUUUGUUGUUGAUGUCAUAUGGUAUUUUCCCUGAUAUGUUAGAUGAUAAAUAAUCAAUUCAAACGAAGAAAAAUUGGGAAAGAAAAAAAAAAACAUCUCAACCACUCCUUGUUGUCUGCGAUUUCUGCAUCACGACCCUUGUUAUAUCACUAUGUGUCACCCAUUAAAAAAAAAAAAAAAAAAAAAUCCAGCUGUGGCCAUUCACAGCUGUGUCUUGACACUUGGUGAUACAUGCUACAUGGAGUUUUUGGAUCGAAACAAGCAAAGUACGCGAUAAUAUCUCGUUAAAUUCGUGGUGUCUUUAAUUCUGCUCUCGCGUGCUCUCGCCUCCAAUUAGGGUUUUGCUGUUUAAAUUUUUUUUUUUUUUGUACAGAAAAAAAAACACCCACCUGUUCAAAAU
Molecule: long non-coding RNA, 2486 nt
Organism: Corythoichthys intestinalis (scribbled pipefish)
Lineage: Eukaryota; Metazoa; Chordata; Actinopteri; Syngnathiformes; Syngnathidae
Exons: 3
Source: RefSeq, a predicted model, not a curated record